Molecule: ribosomal RNA, 71 nt
Filed under: Nemania sp. NS-2019a
Lineage: Eukaryota; Fungi; Ascomycota; Sordariomycetes; Xylariales; Xylariaceae
Description: partial 28S ribosomal RNA
Rfam family: Eukaryotic large subunit ribosomal RNA
Source: RNAcentral
UUGACCUCGGAUCAGGUAGGAAUACCCGCUGAACUUAAGCAUAUCAAUAAGCGGAGGAAAAGAAACCAACA